This 99-nucleotide ribosomal RNA is filed under the name uncultured bacterium. RNAcentral describes it as "partial 16S ribosomal RNA". It matches the Rfam family "Bacterial small subunit ribosomal RNA", at positions 1373 to 1482 of the family's 1533-position model. The record is from RNAcentral.
CCCGGGCCUUGUACACACCGCCCGUCACACCAUGGGAGUCGAUUGCUCCAGAAGUCAUCUCACCGAGAGGUGCCCAAGGAGUGGUCGGUAACUGGGGUG